This is a long non-coding RNA of Rosa rugosa (rugosa rose), 1387 nucleotides long. RefSeq lists it as uncharacterized. The transcript is spliced from 6 exons. Lineage: Eukaryota; Viridiplantae; Streptophyta; Magnoliopsida; Rosales; Rosaceae. The record is from RefSeq and is a predicted model, not a curated record.
ACGAGGGCUUCUUCUUAAUGUUAUUCAAAACCACGCCACCUAGCCUAUACUUCAUUUUGCGAACGAAAGAAUUGACAAACCCCAACCUUAUCUCCUUGAGAAACCCCUUCUUCGACAGACCUCGAGUCCUCUACGGCUCUACCCUCUCCCUCUCUCUUCUUCGACACAAGUCUCCCCCCUCUUCUUGACAAGCCCCAACCUUAUCUCCUCCAGAGAUCCCGACCCUAUCUCUUCUUCGACAAACCCCAACCAAAACUCUCUCUCUCUUCGACGAAUCCCGACCAAAACCAUCUCUGCCUCUAGAUUGAAAACCUCAUGGGUAGCCUAGAGAGAGCCCUAGAUUGGAAGCCAUCUCUUCUCCAAUUCUUCGAAUCUCUUUCUCUCACAGUCCAUUUUGGUCUCUCUACGUAGGAGCAGAAGAACCUGAAGGGUGAACUCCUUCGACCCCAUGAACGGGUGAAGAGGAUCCAGUCGGUGCCUAGCACAGAUGACGAACAACCUCAUUGCAGCGCUCUAGCUCCAAAGCCGAUCCCUCCCGAAAGUUUUCUCUGCAGAAGAGCGAAGGAUGUUGCAAAAUGUAGAGUGGAACAACUUUGCCCCUUCCCCUAUGACCUCAUCCAGCAAGAGCUGUAGCGAUAUCCUACUUAUGAAGCCUGCGUUCACCAUUCUACGUGAUAAAGAUUCAAAAUGCUUUCUUCUGUUGAUACGUGGUACACAUAGUAUCAAAGAUACACUAACUGCCGCAACUGGUGCAGUGGCCCCUUUCCACCAUUCGGUUUUUUGAUGAUGGUGGAAUAAGCAAGUUAGUCCUAGGAUAUGCUCACUGUGGGAUGGUGAAUCUCCUAAGUAUACAGUAAAGGGAGUGUUCAUCCUGAUACAAGUCAGACAUUCAAUCUAUCGCCGAGAAAGAGGUCGCCGAUACGCCCGGUGAGGAAUUCCAGUACCAAGCCGAGAACUGCAAUGGUUGGAGAGUGAACCUGUGUAAAGAUUGCAUUGACGGGUUUCUUGGUUUGAUUGAGAAGGACGGUUCUAAUGUGUUUGUAAAUUGGCCAAGUUUGUCGUGGUGGUUUUGUUCUAAAAACAAUGAUCCAGGUUUGAAGGCUGCUUAUAAACUGGACAAUCAUGUGGAAGAUGGAGCAGUGACGAAAGCUUUUGAACUGAUAGAGAGAAAUUUGUUUAGCUAGAAGUUGUACUGAGGCUAGAAGUUGGUCUUUUUUGGGUUGGCCUUAAUUGCAGUUCUCCUAUAGAUGUGAUUAUGUGACAUUUUUAGGUACAUUUCUGGAUGUAUUUUGCUAUAAGAGUUUCAAAGAUGUGAUCCCUUAUUUUGUGGAUACAAUUAGCAUUAUCGGAUCCAUUUAGAUUGCUAUGGGAUUAUAACAGCUUUCUA